UUAAUAAGCGGAGGAAAAGAAACUAACCAGGAUUCCCUCAGUAAGGGCGACUGAAGCGGGAAUAGCCCAUACGAAAUCUGCGCGCAAGCGCCGAAUUGUGGUCUGGAGACGCUUGUGUUACUGGCUGGGCCAAGUCCCUUGGAACGGGGCAGCUGAGAGGGUGAGACUCCCGUGUGCCUGGCCGGGUGAGCGAGUAGUCAACGAGUCGAGUUGUUUGGGAUUGCAGCUCUAAGUGGGUGGUAAAUUCCAUCUAAGGCUAAAUACUGGUGGGAGACCGAUAGCGUACAAGUACCGUGAGGGAAAGAUGCAAAGAACUUUGAAAAGAGAGUUAAAGAGUACCUGAAAUUGCUGAAAAGGAAGCGAAGGAAACCAGUGCCAGAUGCGUCAUACUUCCUCAAUCGCUUGCGAUUGGGGCGCUGUGGCCAUCGUUGCCAGAGUUGUUUGGUUGGGCUGGAAGUGCGUUCAGGGAGUUGACCUGAGCAUGCCGCAGUUCGAGCGAAUGAGUUUUGGCGAAAUGGUUUUCUUUUCCCCG
RNAcentral lists this ribosomal RNA (532 nucleotides) under Stauroneis gracilior. Its description in RNAcentral is "eukaryotic LSU rRNA". It matches the Rfam family "Eukaryotic large subunit ribosomal RNA", at positions 43 to 651 of the family's 3401-position model. Lineage: Eukaryota; Bacillariophyta; Bacillariophyceae; Naviculales; Stauroneidaceae. The record is from RNAcentral.